Molecule: ribosomal RNA, 525 nt
Filed under: Vibrio sp. J2104m
Lineage: Bacteria; Pseudomonadati; Pseudomonadota; Gammaproteobacteria; Vibrionales; Vibrionaceae
Description: bacterial SSU rRNA
Rfam family: Bacterial small subunit ribosomal RNA
Source: RNAcentral
GCGGCGGACGGGUGAGUAAUGCCUAGGAAAUUGCCUUGAUGUGGGGGAUAACCAUUGGAAACGAUGGCUAAUACCGCAUAAUGCCUACGGGCCAAAGAGGGGGAUCUUCGGACCUCUCGCGUCAAGAUAUGCCUAGGUGGGAUUAGCUAGUUGGUGAGGUAAUGGCUCACCAAGGCGACGAUCCCUAGCUGGUCUGAGAGGAUGAUCAGCCACACUGGAACUGACACACGGUCCAGACUCCUACGGGAGGCAGCAGUGGGGAAUAUUGCACAAUGGGCGAAAGCCUGAUGCAGCCAUGCCGCGUGUAUGAAGAAGGCCUUCGGGUUGUAAAGUACUUUCAGUUGUGAGGAAGGGGGUAUCGUUAAUAGCUGUGUCUCUUGACGUUAGCAACAGAAGAAGCACCGGCUAACUCCGUGCCAGCAGCCGCGGUAAUACGGAGGGUGCGAGCGUUAAUCGGAAUUACUGGGCGUAAAGCGCAUGCAAGUGGUUCAUUAAGUCAGAUGUGAAAGCCCGGGGCUCAACCUC